RNAcentral lists this ribosomal RNA (443 nucleotides) under uncultured bacterium. RNAcentral's name for it is "partial 16S ribosomal RNA". It matches the Rfam family "Bacterial small subunit ribosomal RNA", at positions 358 to 792 of the family's 1533-position model. The record is from RNAcentral.
GGAAUAUUGCACAAUGGGCGCAAGCCUGAUGCAGCCAUGCCGCGUGUGUGAAGAAGGCCUUCGGGUUGUAAAGCACUUUCAGCGAGGAGGAAGGGUAGUGUGUUAAUAGCACAUUGCAUUGACGUUACUCGCAGAAGAAGCACCGGCUAACUCCGUGCCAGCAGCCGCGGUAAUACGGAGGGUGCAAGCGUUAAUCGGAAUUACUGGGCGUAAAGCGCACGCAGGCGGUUUGUUAAGUCAGAUGUGAAAUCCCCGCGCUUAACGUGGGAACUGCAUUUGAAACUGGCAAGCUAGAGUCUUGUAGAGGGGGGUAGAAUUCCAGGUGUAGCGGUGAAAUGCGUAGAGAUCUGGAGGAAUACCGGUGGCGAAGGCGGCCCCCUGGACAAAGACUGACGCUCAGGUGCGAAAGCGUGGGGAGCAAAACAGGAUUAGAUACCCUGGUA